RNAcentral lists this transfer RNA (85 nucleotides) under Felis catus (domestic cat). It matches the Rfam family "tRNA". Rfam says of the family: Transfer RNA (tRNA) molecules are approximately 80 nucleotides in length. Their secondary structure includes four short double-helical elements and three loops (D, anti-codon, and T loops). The record is from Rfam by way of RNAcentral. Lineage: Eukaryota; Metazoa; Chordata; Mammalia; Carnivora; Felidae.
GCCUGGGUGGCUCAAUCAGUUGAGCACCCAAUUUCAGCUCAGGUCAUGAUCUCACGAUUCGUGGGUUCGAGCCCCACAUCAGGUU